RNAcentral lists this ribosomal RNA (468 nucleotides) under uncultured bacterium. RNAcentral describes it as "partial 16S ribosomal RNA". It matches the Rfam family "Bacterial small subunit ribosomal RNA", at positions 28 to 507 of the family's 1533-position model. The record is from RNAcentral.
GACGAACGCUGGCGGCGUGCUUAACACAUGCAAGUCGAACGGAAAGGCCCUGCUUUUGUGGGGUGCUCGAGUGGCGAACGGGUGAGUAACACGUGAGUAACCUGCCCUUGACUUUGGGAUAACUUCAGGAAACUGGGGCUAAUACCGGAUAGGAGCUCCUGCUGCAUGGUGUGGGUUGGAAAGUUUCGGCGGUUGGGGAUGGACUCGCGGCUUAUCAGCUUGUUGGUGGGGUAGUGGCUUACCAAGGCUUUGACGGGUAGCCGGCCUGGGAGGGUGACCGGCCACAUUGGGACUGAGAUACGGCCCAGACUCCUACGGGAGGCAGCAGUGGGGAAUAUUGCACAAUGGGCGGAAGCCUGAUGCAGCAACGCCGCGUGCGGGAUGACGGCCUUCGGGUUGUAAACCGCUUUCGCCUGUGACGAAGCGUGAGUGACGGUAAUGGGUAAAGAGGCACCGGCUAACUACGUG